Molecule: ribosomal RNA, 737 nt
Filed under: fungal sp.
Lineage: Eukaryota; Fungi
Description: eukaryotic LSU rRNA
Rfam family: 5.8S ribosomal RNA (bases 197-351)
Source: RNAcentral
UUACCGAGUUAGGGUCUCACCGGCCCGAUCUCCCAACCCUUUGUCUACUUGACCAUCGUUGCUUCGGCGAGCCCGUCCUCACGGACCGCCGGGGGGUCUUUGUACCCCUUGGCCCGCGCUCGUCGAUAGCCCCCAAAUUUAAAAAAUCUUAACUAAACGUGUCUUGAAUCUAAGUAUUAUUGUUAAAUAAAAACAAAACUUUCAACAACGGAUCUCUUGGUUCUGGCAUCGAUGAAGAACGCAGCGAAAUGCGAUAAGUAAUGCGAAUUGCAGAAUUCCAGUGAGUCAUCGAAUCUUUGAACGCACAUUGCGCCCUUUGGUAUUCCGAAGGGCAUGCCUGUUCGAGCGUCAUUAUCACCCCUCAAGCCCUCGGCUUGGUGUUGGACGGUUUGGUGGAGACCCCCCUCGGGUGGGCUUCUACCCCUCCCAAAGACAAUGACGGCGGCCUCGUUGGACCCCCGGUACACUGAGUUCUUCACGGGACACGUAUCGGACACAUGGGUUUACGGGACACGGUCUGCCUCCCCUCAGGGAGAAUCUUUUUUUAUCAAGGUUGACCUCGGAUCAGGUAGGGAUACCCGCUGAACUUAAGCAUAUCAAUAAGCGGAGGAAAAGAACCAACAGGGAUUGCCUCAGUAACGGCGAGUGAAGCGGCAACAGCUCAAAUUUGAAAUCUGGCCUCUUUGGGGUCCGAGUUGUAAUUUGUAGAGGAUGUUUCGGGUACCGCCUCGGUUUAA